UACAGAGGGGGCAAGCGUUGUUCGGAAUUACUGGGCGUAAAGGGCGCGUAGGCGGCCCGCUAAGUCGAACGUGAAAUCCCCAGGCUCAACCUGGGAACUGCGUCCGAUACUGGCAGGCUUGAAUCCGGGAGAGGGAUGUGGAAUUCCAGGUGUAGCGGUGAAAUGCGUAGAUAUCUGGAGGAACACCGGUGGCGAAGGCGGGUCUCUGGGCAGUAACUGACGCUGAGGAGCGAAAGCGUGGGGAGCGAACAGG
Molecule: ribosomal RNA, 253 nt
Filed under: uncultured bacterium
Lineage: Bacteria
Description: partial 16S ribosomal RNA
Rfam family: Bacterial small subunit ribosomal RNA
Source: RNAcentral